Molecule: ribosomal RNA, 461 nt
Filed under: uncultured Allobrachymonas sp.
Lineage: Bacteria; Pseudomonadati; Pseudomonadota; Betaproteobacteria; Burkholderiales; Comamonadaceae
Description: bacterial SSU rRNA
Rfam family: Bacterial small subunit ribosomal RNA
Source: RNAcentral
GACGGGACCCGCACAAGCGGUGGAUGAUGUGGUUUAAUUCGAUGCAACGCGAAAACCUUACCACCUUGACAUGGCAGGAAUCCCGAAGAGAUUGGGAGUGCUCGAAAGAGAACCUGCACACAGGUGCUGCAUGGCUGUCGUCAGCUCGUGUCGUGAGAUGUUGGGUUAAGUCCCGCAACGAGCGCAACCCUUGCCAUUAGUUGCUACGAAAGGGCACUCUAAUGGGACUGCCGGUGACAAACCGGAGGAAGGUAGGGAUGACGUCAAGUCCUCAUGGCCCUUAUAGGUGGGGCUACACACGUCAUACAAUGGCCGGUACAGAGGGUAGCCAACCCGCGAGGGGGAGCCAAUCCCACAAAGCCGGUCGUAGUCCGGAUCGCAGUCUGCAACUCGACUGCGUGAAGUCGGAAUCGCUAGUAAUCGCGGAUCAGCAUGUCGCGGUGAAUACGUUCCCGGGUCUU